UGCCUCGUUGUGUAACGGUAGCACGACAGCCUCUGGAGCUGUUUGUCUAGGUUCGAAUCCUAGCGAGGCAA
RNAcentral lists this transfer RNA (71 nucleotides) under Candidatus Omnitrophota bacterium. Its description in RNAcentral is "Candidatus Omnitrophica bacterium (sediment metagenome) tRNA-Gln". It matches the Rfam family "tRNA". Rfam says of the family: Transfer RNA (tRNA) molecules are approximately 80 nucleotides in length. Their secondary structure includes four short double-helical elements and three loops (D, anti-codon, and T loops). Further hydrogen bonds mediate the characteristic L-shaped molecular structure. tRNAs have two regions of fundamental functional importance: the anti-codon, which is responsible for specific mRNA codon recognition, and the 3' end, to which the tRNAs corresponding amino acid is attached (by aminoacyl-tRNA synthetases). tRNAs cope with the degeneracy of the genetic code in two manners: having more than one tRNA (with a specific anti-codon) for a particular amino acid; and 'wobble' base-pairing, i.e. permitting non-standard base-pairing at the 3rd anti-codon position. The record is from RNAcentral. Lineage: Bacteria; Pseudomonadati; Candidatus Omnitrophota.